GUCCGAUAAGAGGACUGCAACUCAUUCACGUGCUCCCAGAUUCUGGAGGCACUUGUAAUUAGCAUUCUCUAUGGAGGGGGUAGCUGUGCUUCAGUUCUUAUGAAUUCCAAUUCGGCACGUUUUUUUUUUCUUCACCCUGGAAUAUGGAAAUGUCCCGCUCUCAACACACUGUGUCCCACAAGUAUAACUUGUGCAGCCUCUUUAAUUCAGAACUAUGAUCUGCGCACCUCCUUGCUGGCGUGUGGGGUCUUUCAUCGGCCAAAAGGCCGAGGCAGCAAGAGUUACAGGAUAGAACGUUGUGGCCUACGCAGCGCUGACGGGCUGUAAACGUGUGUGAGGAGUCCUAAAACAACAUGGGUAAAUGCAGGAAGGAGAUGAAUGGACGCAAAGUAAUCCAGUGGUGGAAGAUGGCUGUUCUGAUUUAAAAA
Gasterosteus aculeatus aculeatus (three-spined stickleback) is the source of this 428-nucleotide long non-coding RNA. The record is from Ensembl. NCBI's taxonomy places the organism in Eukaryota, Metazoa, Chordata, Actinopteri, Perciformes, Gasterosteidae.